Molecule: ribosomal RNA, 253 nt
Filed under: uncultured bacterium
Lineage: Bacteria
Description: partial 16S ribosomal RNA
Rfam family: Bacterial small subunit ribosomal RNA
Source: RNAcentral
UACGUAGGGUCCGAGCGUUGUCCGGAAUUAUUGGGCGUAAAGAGCUCGUAGGCGGUUUGUCGCGUCUGCUGUGAAAUCCCGAGGCUCAGCCUCGGGCCUGCAGUGGGUACGGGCAGACUGGAGUGCGGUAGGGGAGAAUGGAAUUCCUGGUGUAGCGGUGGAAUGCGCAGAUAUCAGGAGGAACACCGAUGGCGAAGGCAGUUCUCUGGGCCGUAACUGACGCUGAGGAGCGAAAGCGUGGGGAGCGAACAGG